This 1007-nucleotide ribosomal RNA is filed under the name uncultured archaeon. RNAcentral's name for it is "bacterial SSU rRNA". It matches the Rfam family "Archaeal small subunit ribosomal RNA", at positions 305 to 1311 of the family's 1478-position model. The record is from RNAcentral.
GAGACAAGAUUCCGGGCCCUACGGGGCGCAGCAGGCGCGAAACCUUUACACUGCACGCCAGUGCGAUAAGGGGAUCCCGAGUGCACCGGCAUAGAGCCUGUGCUUUUCUGAACCGUAGGGAGGUUCAGGAACAAGAGCUGGGCAAGACCGGUGCCAGCCGCCGCGGUAAUACCGGCAGCUCGAGUGAUGGCCGAUCUUAUUGGGCCUAAAGCGUCCGUAGCUGGCCUUGCAAGUCCGUCGGGAAAUCCACCCGCUCAACGGGUGGGCGUCCGGCGGAAACUGUGAGGCUUGGGACCGGGAGGCUUGAAGGGUACGUCCGGGGUAGGAGUGAAAUCCCGUAAUCCUGGACGGACCGCCGAUGGGGAAACCACUUCAAGAGAACGGAUCCGACAGUGAGGGACGAAAGCUAGGGUCUCGAACCGGAUUAGAUACCCGGGUAGUCCUAGCUGUAAACGAUGCCUGUUAGGUGUGACUCCCACUACGAGUGGGUGUUGUGCCGUAGGGAAGCCGCUAAACAGGCCGCCUGGGAAGUACGUCUGCAAGGAUGAAACUUAAAGGAAUUGGCGGGGGAGCACUACAACCGGAGGAGCCUGCGGUUUAAUUGGACUCAACGCCGGACAUCUCACCAGCAUCGACUGUGGUAAUGACGGUCAGGUUGAUGACCUUACCCGAGCCACAGAGAGGAGGUGCAUGGCCGCCGUCAGCUCGUACCGUGAGGCGUCCUGUUAAGUCAGGCAACGAGCGAGACCCGCAUCCUUACUUGCCAGCAGCACCGCGAGGUGGCUGGGGACAGUAGGGAGACCGCCGUGGCUAACACGGAGGAAGGAACGGGCAACGGUAGGUCAGUAUGCCCCGAAUAUGCUGGGCAACACGCGGGCUACAAUGGUCGAGACAAUGGGUUCCAACGCCGAGAGGCGACGGUAAUCUCAGAAACUCGAUCGUAGUUCGGAUUGUGGACUGAAACUCGUCCACAUGAAGCUGGAUUCGGUAGUAAUCGCGUUCAGAAG